ACACAUCUCUUGAAUAAAGCGUGCGCGUGAAAGUACAGCUGUAAACUAAUACGGCGUACUUCCUAAGUAAAAAAAAUCAAUGAGUCCUUGCCAGUCGUAAGCAACAGAGUCAUUUUCUAAAAAAUGCAUGUUUACAAAUGUUAGUUAAUGGAACCGGCUUAUUUGUUUAUCGUUUAAAAAGUGGACGUGACAGCAUUUUCGUCACGAAAAAAAUACUCUCAGAUCUGUUGUUGGUCAACUGUAUGAACUUUCUCGUGUAGGUUCCUGGGUUUUCUAAAAAAAAAAAAAAAAAAAAAAAAAGUGGUUAAUUUGUCUUUUGCUUUCAGUUCAUUCAUAAAAAAAUCAGCGCCGAGACCCCCGGGAAGGUUUCGUUUGGUGCGCCUCCCUCCGAAAGUCACGCCCCACCCCUCCAGACUGCGUGGCGUCGCGGCCGAGAGCGAAGGAAACCAAUCCGCACAAUAUGUGCUGAGAAUUUUCAGGUAAGGAAGACAGAAGUUGCAAGAUUCACAGAAAGCUGGUGCCUACCUAGCCUGGCAGUGCUGGACAGUGAACCAUCACUGGACAGAACACCAUUCCAUUGUAGGGCAAACUCACGUACACAGCCACACUAACUUCACUGGAACAAUUUUGGCAUGCCUAAAAUCUAGUUAUUAUGCUAUCCUUUUCUGUUUGAUUAUGGAUGAAUAGAGCACCAAAUGUAGGAAUU
Erpetoichthys calabaricus (reedfish) is the source of this 706-nucleotide long non-coding RNA. RefSeq lists it as uncharacterized. The record is from RefSeq and is a predicted model, not a curated record. NCBI's taxonomy places the organism in Eukaryota, Metazoa, Chordata, Cladistia, Polypteriformes, Polypteridae. The transcript has 3 exons.